This 269-nucleotide ribosomal RNA is filed under the name uncultured bacterium. RNAcentral's name for it is "partial 16S ribosomal RNA". It matches the Rfam family "Bacterial small subunit ribosomal RNA", at positions 793 to 1055 of the family's 1533-position model. The record is from RNAcentral.
GUCCACGCCGUAAAACGAUGGAUACUCGAUGUAGGAAGGAAUCGACCCCUUUCUGUGUCCAAGCUAACGCGUUAAGUAUCCCGCCUGGGGGAGUACGGUCGCAAGAUUAAAACUCAAAAGGAAUAGACGGGGACCCACACAAGCGGUGGAGCAUGUGGUUUAAUUCGACAAUAAACGGGGAACCUUACCAGGGCUUGACAUCUCCGGAAUCCCGAAGAAAUUUGGGAGUGCCGUAAGGAAUCGGAUGACAGGUGCUGCAUGGUCGUCGU